GGAGUUGGAGAUGACUGGACAGGGAAAACCUUUACCUCUUUAUUGAUCUUAAGGAUUGAUUUGGCUGAUCUGGCAAGUUAGAUGGCUGAUUCCCUCUGCCUUCACCACUCCAUGUGUGUCCUCCCUGAAACUACAUGCUCAGAUCACCCCAGAUAGAUCAAGGGAAUGCAAGAAACUGCAGUCCCCUGCUAGAAUUUCCAAAAUCCAUUUAUAGGACUCUUGAUGUAUUGUAGAGCUAAGUGACCACCUGGGUGUCAAACAUCUGUACUUUAGACUUAGAAAUAUUC
RNAcentral lists this small nuclear RNA (287 nucleotides) under Ophiophagus hannah (king cobra). RNAcentral's name for it is "7SK RNA". It matches the Rfam family "7SK RNA". From Rfam's summary of the family: 7SK was discovered as an abundant small nuclear RNA in the mid-70s but a possible function has only recently been suggested. Two independent studies have found that 7SK RNA binds the CDK9/cyclin T complex (known as elongation factor P-TEFb). Lineage: Eukaryota; Metazoa; Chordata; Lepidosauria; Squamata; Elapidae. The record is from Rfam by way of RNAcentral.